GCCACCUCCGUUGGUGGUAGGAGAUACAGUUUCACUGAGGAAAGAUAUCUCAGUCUGUCCUAAAUGCUUUUUGAGGCAAUUCAAAUAAACUAAGUGAAAAUUAUAGAAGUUACAAAUACUUCUACUUAAAAUAAUCUGUUUUUAAGCAGGAUUGAGUUUAUAAGAAAAAUUAACUGGCGUCAUAGAUGUGCACUGCAUAUUUUGCACAUUUUUUGCACUUAAAUGUUUCAAAUCAAACAAAUUUUUAAUAUUAGACAAUGACAACCCAAGUAAAUAAAAAAUGCAGUUUUCACAUGAUGAUUCCAUCUAAUAUGCGAAAAGGGUAUCCAAACUUACUUGGCCCUAUGUAAAAAAGUCAUUCCCCCUAAUCACAAACUAAGUGGGAUUAACCAAAUUUUUGGAAGGCUGAGUUCAAUUUUACCAGCCACACCCAGGUCUGAUUACUGACAGACCUGUUAAAUCAAGAAAUCACUUCAGCAGAGCCUGUCUGAAAAAGUGAAGGAGGGUAAAAAGAUGUCAAAAAGCAAUGAAACGGGCUACAGUCUAAAGAAAAACAUGAAAAACAAAGUCAUUGACAUUACUCUGGAAAGGGUUAAAAAAAAAAAAAGCAAUUUCUAAGGCUUCGGGAUGCAAACAACUCACAGUUAGAGCCAAUUGCCACAAACUGAGAAAACCUAGAGCAGUGAGGAACGCUCCCAGGAGCCAGCCUACCAAAAUUGCAUCAACCACUCAUCCAGGAGGUCACAAAAGAAACCAGAACAACAUCUAAAGAACUGCAGGCCUCACUUUUCUUGGUUAAGGUCAGUGUUCAUGGUUCAACAAUUGGAGAGAGACUGAGCAAAAAUGGCAUUCAGUGGAAGAGUUACAAGGCAAAAAACACUGCACAAGAACACAAAGACUCAUCUUCCAUUUGCCAAAAAACAUCUUGAUGAAGACUUGAGGGAAAAUAUUAUGUGGACUGAUGAGACAAAGGUUUCUGAAACUUUUUUACUCUGGUUAACUUUUUCUAACAUUUAAAUUUGUUUGGUGAUCUGAAACAUAACGUGUGACAAAUAUGCUAAAAAAAUUAAAACUCUGAAAGGCGUCAUGCUUUUUCACUGCACUACACACAAAACUUGCCACUCUGGUGUGUCAGUAAUAUAACAGAUUUGACAUAUACCUACC
Long non-coding RNA from Astatotilapia calliptera (eastern happy), 1164 nucleotides. NCBI's taxonomy places the organism in Eukaryota, Metazoa, Chordata, Actinopteri, Cichliformes, Cichlidae. The record is from Ensembl.